AACUUAGGCUAAAGUUUCAUCGCCCGGAGCGGGAAUCGAAUCCUCACCCCAUAGCAUGGUGCGAUUCUUGGUGACACUAACCGCACGGCUACGAGGUUCCACAAAUGUUGAACACACCCCUUAGCAAGCUCAUCAUCAUGUUUCGAAUUCCGUUAACAAGAAUGUGGGUGAAUGUGAAACUGUCAACCAUGCGUCUCCAUUUUCGUUAACUAACGGAAAUGCUUAGUAUUAUUACACAGCGUAACAAAAAUUAACUUUUGGUCUGUCUCAAGAGCAAGCUUAUGUGUCUCUGACAGAUUUUGGGCCGCUGAAUCCGAAUCCGGGCUCAGAUUUGCUCCAACACGUCACAAUUUUGAGCUAUACCUCAAUUUAUAGGGCAAAAUAUGCGAUUUUGGGCUUUUUUGACUGCAACCCAUUAAGCAUGGAAAUAUUUUUUUUAAGCAAUCAAAAGGUUAAUUGGUCAAUUAACAUCUAAAUUAACGACUCACGCAAAAUAUUUCGUUUUACCAAAUCCAAUUUGAUAGUUUUAGGGUAAAUGUACCAAUAGUGGUGCUAUUAGUAGCUCCUUGUAGUAAAAUAAUUGAAUAAAAUUGAUAAUACCACAAAAUAAAAAAGUCUGAAAACGUUAAUCGUUAGUUUUUUACUUAAAUUUGCUAGGAAAAGUGUAAAAACCAUCGUUUAUUUCAGUUUUUGCUAAUAAAUCACUUGCACCAACUAUUGGUACACGGUUCCUAUUAUGGAGGUAAAAUUUAACAUUGGUUCCAAUAGUGGCGCAUCCCAUUGAUUUCUUAUGGGACCCACCAUUAUAGGAACACUACCACCACUAUAGGUGCAAAGGAGCAAAAAAGUUAAGGAAAAUAAUUAUUUAAAAGAGGUUUUCCACCAAAUCCUGAACUCAAAACUGAAUUAAUGUUAUUAAUUAGGUAUGAUGCAUUUGUUAAAAAUGCCAUUUGCAAGCUUUUUGGUCGAAAUAGUGCCAAAUCGCCACUACCACCACUAUUGGUACUACCUCCACUAAGGGAGCUUUUACCCUAAGCGAAUUAUGUUAGGACCGAUAUUUCCCAUACAAGUCACCCUCCAAAAGUUGCAUGCAAGUUUUCAUACUGACAUAAAAUGCUUAAAACUAUCAAAUUUGAUUAGGUAAAACAAAAUAUUAUGCAUGAUUCGUUAAUUUAGAUGUUAAUUGACCAAUUUACCUUUUAAUUGCUUAAAAAAAAUAUUUCCAUGCUUAAUGGGUUGCAGUCAAAAAAGCCCAAAAUCGCAUAUUUUGCCCUAUAAAUUGAGGUAUAGCUCAAAAUUGUGACGUGUUGGAGCAAAUCUGAGCCCGGAUUCGGAUUCAGCGGCCCAAAAUCUGUCAGAGACACAUAAGUUUACUCUUGAGACAAAAAAAUGUUGCGCUGUGUUAUGAGCUGAGACGAGACUCGCGAAGAGGAAAAAAAGCAACGUCAAGUGCAGCCCAACUGAGCUGUCAGUUGUAGCCCGUUUGAUUGCGUUACCUAAAACGAGUAAAGUAUUGCUAUCCGAGAUAAAUUCUGAAGCCAAAAUUCACUCCGAGCAGCAUUUUCUUCUCCUGUACUGUCAAAAAUAAAUUGAAAACAAAAUAUUCCAAUGAUUACUUUGCUUGGCGAUUGUUGGCGAUGCAAAAUUUCACCUCAACAUGAUUUUGUGCAUGAAUGGGAUUCAGUUACACUGCAUGUGAGGUGAUGCGGUCACGUACGUGUUUGAACCACUAGCCCAAAACAUAAUGUCAACACAGAUAGGAAGAAGAAAAAAAAUAACAAAGUGGAGAAAAAGAAGACCGUCUCAGGUUAUGAGUAGACGACCAUUCACUCAUAUGUUACAGGGGACUUUUCGGGUUUCACAAAUGGCUUGUGAAUACUAUUUUAAUAUUUAGUUACUUCAUGCACCACUUUUUUCUACUGUUCCCCUUUCCGAUAUUGAAAAAUCGCUAUUGGUUCACGCGUUUACUGAUUUUGGAGAUAGAUAGAGACCUAAGCAAAGAGAACGAGAGCAAAGAGUGGUGAGAACGGGUCUAUGGGAUUACCAUUCUUUGCCAAGUUGACUCUCUGCGCUGCUCUGCCUCCAUCAACAACGCGAAACUUCGCUCCGAUCCAAGUGAGUACCGACGAUACUCGCGGUAUAGUGUAGUGUGCGACGAGCAUGACACCAGCAGAACAACAUGUCCAUUCACGCGCGCGGCAGCCAGCGGCGGGGGAGUCAAAAACGUGACGCGGAGCGAACGUGUGGGAUCGCCCACCGACGCCAAACAGCCAGCUUUGUGAUGCGAUGGUAUGGUGGCACGGCGACGGCGACGGCGGAAGAACGACGACGAUGUGGAAAAGCUGCUAGCACAGCAGCAAUUCACUUCACUUCACCGUACUGUCGACUCGAGUCGAGUCGAGUCAGUGUAGUGUCACUGUUGUUGCCGCCGAGCCGCGUCGAGUCGGCGGGUCGGGACCGACCGACCGUCAGAAGGCUGGUCGCAGUCGGUUGCGAUCCGUGUUCCGUUCCGGUCGUGUUUUCUGGCUUCCUCUCGCUGGUCUCGCGGCUCUUGUGAUUGGUCGGUGUGGGAAGAACAGCAAAGCAGAGCACUUCCUGCCGCCCGCUAGACUUCGAUGGUUCGAUGGCGGUUGGAAGAAUAAUCACAGUGCGGUUUCCUUUGGGGACUUGGACGGAUGGCUUUCCCGCAAGUUGUCCUGCUUUUCGUUUAAUCCAUGCGUCCGAAGAAGUAUAUUAGCAUAAUGUGAGUCCCUUAUGGAAGUUGAUUACGAGUUUUGAGAAUUUCGUCAUGUGCAAGAUUUCUCCGAAGUAUCGAAGGUUACGAUUUUGGGAAGAUCGGUGAAACGAACAAAAAAGUGUAUCAUAGUGUGAACAGCAAGCAGAACAGAAGGAACCAGUGAAUCACGGAGCUGCGAAAUUAAGCCGGACAGAAUGAAGCAACCAAUGUUUGAAUGGCCACAUUGCCGCGACCCGGAUACAAAUGAAUGUGUAGCAUUGCAACAGCAGAACGGAAUUCUUUCACAUACGUCAUGACGCACAUAUAUGUAAUUUGCUUAUGAAAUAUAUGUUCCAGUUACCGUGAUGAUGUAUCUUACGGAAAACGGAAAGAGCGUUGUGGAAUAUUUGUACAAAAGACAGCCACCACAUUGCUAAAAAUAUCAACCACCUAUCUCCGUUUCGAUAUCCGAGAACAGCAAGGAAAAAAUCGAAGAAAUCGCAAGGAAGAGUGCCCCAUAAGGCAACAUCGGUUAAUUAUAAUACCGCCGCGCCGGAGCUUUUCGCUGAAUCUGCAUCUUCAAGAGAGCAGCCAGCACCCACAACGACAUCGCCUUCGCCUUCGUGCCUGCAACGAGCAUGACGAGGACGAUCUUCAAUACCAACUGUUUUGCUGAUGCCACCCCGCCGCCGCCGGACGCCAUCCAUCCCCUCGGAUCCAAGUAGGUACCCCAGAACACACAUAAGUGCGCCCUCUCCAGUUUCCAUUUUUUCCCGAUAUCCCCUACUUUGUGUGGACUCGUUCUUUCCUAUUCAUUCAUUGGGACGGUUGAUGGCGCGAAUCCCAGGAAAUCAACCGAGAACACCAGCAUCUGCAACAACGGACCCGAUCGAACGAACGAACGUGUUGAAAGGCGCCCGUCCAAAGUGAGAUAACACAUGUUUUUUGUUUGCGCGGCUUCUUCACGGCUUGCUCGAUUCCCUCUUGGAUCUGCAUCCCCCCCUCAGUCAGUGCGGUGGGGACGGUUGGGUUCAGGUUCAGUGAUGGGAACAUCUGCCAAAGAGCGUGAGCUGCAAUGCAUGCAGCAUGCAGCAGAGCAGUCGUGGAGGAGUGUCAAGUCAACGCGGUGUGGCUGUCGGUUGCGUCGUCGUCAUCGUCGUCGUCGUCGUCUAUCGAAAUUCGCUCUGUUCUAGUGCAGGGGACUUCUAAAUUCACUGUAGUCCAGAAAGCAACUUCGCGUAGGAAGAAAAUCUAGUCUGAAAAUCCAAUUUUCAUUAUUUAAGCUUCUAAUAAACACUCUUCAUAUUCAGACACAAAAUCUGUCUUCUCACGUAAGUUUGCUUGAUCCACCAAAUUGUGCACUAUUUCAUGCAGCUGCAAUGAGCUUAAUUUUCAAACCAACUUUUGCGUUCGACGACGACGACGAUCAACCUAACCGCGGCCAACCGCGCUUCGGUUACCGUGUGCGCGCAAACAAAGGACAAAUGCAACGUGGGAUGAUGAUGAUGGUGAUGCGCUGCUCCAUUCGGAAACCACAACAAUGAGUACCGGUCGGUCGGUCGGUCGGUCGGUGGUUGGUGACCAAAAAUGGAAAACACACAUGGCGUUGCGUAGGGGGGUGGGACGGUGGAAAAUCGCAGAUUGUCGCUGGCCAGCCUGAAAUUUGCUAAACCUGUGUGUAUUUGAUUCGAACAAUCAAGGUGAGCAAAUUUUCAGGUGUGUCGGAGAACAAUCGUAAUCAUCGUGGUGGGUGGGUGUGGGGAAGUACUCAUCCAGUGCAGUGUGUAGUUAGAGUGAGCUGUUUUUUUUCUGUGCAACGUGAUUCAACAACAACAGUGAAUUGUGUCCGGAAUCGAGAAGGGGGAUUGGUUUCCUGCGGUUUGUUGGUAGUGGAAGUGGAAGUGAUUCACAGAUAGUAAAUCUGCCUGCUGCAAACAGUUUUGUUGAGAAUGACGGAUUUUACAUUAUUUUGCGCUUUAGAGGUCAUAUAAAGUUGUAGCUAAGAAAAAAACGGGAAUAUUUGUAUUUGAUACUUCACUUAGAACCAAGAACAUCCUGAACACCAUGAAGUGUGUAUAAACGAAAUAAUUGACAAACCAGUUGUUCUAAAAGCAGAAUUUGGAUAUGGGUUAGGUUCAUAUGUAUUAACCUCCGUUAAGAGUAUCAAAAGGUAUUUAAUAUUCUGGGAUGGUCUAGGUGUUCCAAACUGUCCUGCAGUAAAGUCCAUCAAAUCUACAAGAAUAAUAUCAUGUGUUUUCGCCAUAAAUAAUAGCAUUGCAUACUCUCGUAACAGCAGUCAUAUCUGUUAUACUGAGUAACGUUGCAUUAUCAAUCACGGUUACUGGACCAACCUAAAGUCUACUAUAUAAGGACUGUAUCGUUAAUUAUGAGUACACCCGAAAAUUGCUGUAUUUGCAAAUGUUUCAUUGAUUUUGUAAAUUAAGUUCAAUUACAUUGUUUAUUGACCAUCAGAAAAGCCCAUGGUAGGGGGAGUAGGGGCAUAAUGGACACCCUAAGCAAAUGAGUAUGUUAGCGCAGGGUUCCUGAUUUGCACUUUUCAUGUUGUAUGUUUGCUUGUCAACGACGACAGCAAACUCCGGCGAAUGGUGGGAAGCCACACUUGCAAAUUACUCAUUCGUCCACAUUCGCAUCGCAAGCGAUCGAGCGGUGAUGCGAUUCGUGAAUGAUACGAUUGAUAUUGUGCAUACGAUUUUUU
This is a long non-coding RNA of Aedes albopictus (Asian tiger mosquito), 5432 nucleotides long. RefSeq lists it as uncharacterized. The record is from RefSeq and is a predicted model, not a curated record. NCBI's taxonomy places the organism in Eukaryota, Metazoa, Arthropoda, Insecta, Diptera, Culicidae. The transcript has 3 exons.